Molecule: long non-coding RNA, 1912 nt
Organism: Suricata suricatta (meerkat)
Lineage: Eukaryota; Metazoa; Chordata; Mammalia; Carnivora; Herpestidae
Exons: 2
Source: RefSeq, a predicted model, not a curated record
AACUGAGCCACCCAGGCGCCCCCCUUUAUACUCUUUAACAGGUUUGAUAUUUGGUGAAAUCAGAACAGUGCACAGGAGUCGUCCUACGGCCCCCCCGGCAGUCGACCCACGCUCCCCAGAGACCUCUCAGGGGCCAUCGGAGGGAAGUGGGAGCCCAGGAAGUUCAAGCACAGCUGUUGGGACCUGGAGGGAUCGGCAGUGUGACACUUGCUCUCCUCUGACUUAGGCCCUCUUCGCGCUUUGAUUUGAACCAGAGUUAUUUGCUUGCCUAUGUUCAUGUACGUGAAGCCCCAACAAAGUGUCUUGCAGUUAAUAGGCACAAAACAAAUACUAAUACCCUCCUGUCAUGUAGGACAGUGAGUUCCCUGGAGAUACUUGCAUUGUUCUGGGCAGUACAUAGGAGCACGGUGCUUGGAUUCAGACAAACCUGUCGAGGGUCUUAAGUUUGCUUCCUUCUAGCAGCACGAUGGGAAAAAAAAACCAAAACCAAAACCAAAACAAAACAAAACAACCUAUAGAUAAACUUGGUUGCAUUAUACCUUUUGUAAAUGGAUACAACCAGCCAGAGUCUGUUAUAGAUGCCUCUGAACCCAUUUUCUCUUCUGUACCACAGUUCCCAUCUCAUUGGGAUAUUGAAAGGAUCAGGUCAACAUAUUCCUCUAAGACUGGCUAAUGUUGAUCAAAGGCUUAUGUUCAGAGCACCGUUUGAAGUGCUUUCAGCAUGACCAUCUUAUUUAGUUCCUAUAAAGCGGCACCCCCACUUUGCAGAUAAGAAAACAGCCUCAGAGAAGUUGAGUAAUGUGCCUAAGAUCACAAAGCUGCUAAGUGAACGGGGAUUUGAACCGAGGAAGCUUCGUGCUCUCUCUGGCAUCUUUACACUCCACUUUGCAGAGCACUUUGCCCGUGCCCUCCCCUCAUCACACGGGUGCUUCGACACCCUGGUAAACGCUCUCUGAAUAACACCUACAGGAAUGUCUUUCCAGGUGGCCGGUUUGAAAAGCACUAACUGUGCUGUUGUGGCAGAGAAAAUGCACUUGUUUGGAAGAGAGACACAUUCUAGGAGGCUGAGGCUUAAGCCUUUCCAACAGAAUGAUCAGAACUCACGUUGGAAUAAGGUUGAGGAAGAAGGGUUGAGCUGGUGAAGAUUUCUGCCAUCCUCUCUUCCAAUCAGCUGCUGCCCUGGGCUGCUGCCAGCCUGAUGACUCUUCUCCCGCAUGCAAGAGGGUGAAGCAUGAGGGUGUUACCAGGAACUGAGACCUGGACAGGCUUUCAGGGCUGGGCACCCAGCGGAGUCACACCCGAGCGGUGGGCGCUUGCCAGCUUUGGGGCUAAGCUAUUGCCCCUGAGAGGCUGGGCAGGGCGGGCAGCUCUUUGCUCUUUGCUUGCUGAUUCUCUCGUCUCCCAGGGCAACGGGCUGGAGCAGACUGUGGUCACCCGUGGGAAUGCUCCUCCUGAGUCAGCGGGGCCCGCAGCGCCCCGGGGUGUGGCUGUGUCUGUCUGCAGGGCCCUGCACAGAUGCUUUUAUUACGAGGAUGUUGCUGCACCAUCAUGGCUUGAGGGCUGGAGCCGCGGGCCACAAGCUGCUUGUUCUGAGCCUGAUUAGGUCCCCAGAAAGUGUCAGCCUCUAGGAUGUUCCACCGGGCUGCCUCUGUACGUAUAAAGUGUUUAAGAUGGGGACAUUUGAAGACUGUUAGUGGAUCUGUGCAUGACCAUCAGAAAAAGACUAGAGACCCUGGUUCUAGAAUCAACGCUGAUUUGUUGUAGAAAUUGCCUCUCUUCGAGGCCCUACUUCCCUCAUCUGGAAAAUUAAAAUAACUCCUGCCCCACCUGUAUCACUGGACUAUUCUGAGAACCAAAUGAGAUGAUAAAUGUAAAAGAGAUCAAUAAAUGGCAAGGUAUGGCCCCAAAGCAA